This 1550-nucleotide long non-coding RNA is filed under the name Homo sapiens (human). Its description in RNAcentral is "HSALNT0348754". The record is from RNAcentral. Lineage: Eukaryota; Metazoa; Chordata; Mammalia; Primates; Hominidae.
UGGAAAAGUGCCUCUUAGGCUCUCAUUAGAUCUGGACACACCUUUUAACCAGUAUUCUGAGUUGGCGUAGGGCCGAUCGUGCAUGCUGGUGGCGAAGCCCAUUCUUGGUCUGGUUCUUCUGAGGCUCCAGCCAGAAUAUGUCUCAUUUAGUGGCUCAGUGAAGGGGUUGGAAGUCAGAGGCUCUGGAUGAAAGCUAGCUGCCUUCCUCAGGACUGGUACCGGGGCCACGUGUCAUGAGAUUGUGUGUGAUAUAAGAUGUGCGAAGGUUCUGUUAGGAUCUGUCCAAAUACCAGGCACAGUUAGGAUUUUUUCUUAUUAAUGCACAUGAGAUUGUAAGACCACACUUUCUUUUAAAUCACAGUGUAGCUCUGAUGAACAGCUCAGUAGGCAGGGUUUUUUGAAAAACAAACUUUCUUCCACUCGGAGCUCAUGGACAUGGAGCAAGGGACCUGGAGCUGAGAAGUGGAGCUCUGGUCCUAGGGCCACCUCUCUGGGUUCCCAAAGUCCCCUUGGAAUGCUGUAACCCCGCAUUGUUCUAGAAUCAUUGCUUUUCAUGUCCUUCUCCCCACCCCUAGACAGUCAGCCCUUUGAAGGCAAGGACUAUGUCCUAUUCCACCUUGAAUUCUCAUCACCAAGCGGAACGCCUGACACCUAAUCUAGUCAGUGCUUACUAAGUGCUCAUUAUCAAUGCAAGAAUAACAGAGCUAUGGAACCUGGCAGCCACCUCUUUUCUUUGGGCCUCAGUCUUCUCAUGCAGAACUUGGGAUUGGACUAAAUUGGAUCUCCUAGGCUGCCUCUGACUCUAACAAUUCUCUGAUUUAAAUUAUUCUUCAUCUGGAUGUAAUCCACCUUGCUUUUCCAUCCCAGGCUCUGUUCUCACUCAUGGCUGAUGGGCAAAGGCGACUAAGGAGGCACGGCUCCGUGAGGAUGUCCUUACAACUUUGCAACCCCCAAGGAAAAAGAGAUGUGGAUUUUAUGGAAUAGAUGCUAUGUGGUGGAAUCCUGAGUCACGGCCAAACAGCAAAUGCCAGCAAGAGUAGAGUAGGAGGCAUUUCUGUGUACACUUUGGGAAAAAGUCCAUUCCUCACUUGGUUUCAUUUCUGGCCUGAGCCGCUGUGUCCUCCACCUGAAGCCCUGACCUCUCCGUUACUGACUGGAUCCCAAUGUGCCACAGUUCACCUGCAUAAGGAGGGGGUCGAAGACAAGAAAACUGUGAGAGGCUAAGUAAUUUGCUGAGCUCAUAUGACAUCUAAAUGGCAGAGCUCAGAAACCUCAGGGAUUAGAGUGAAGUAGAAUAGAGGAAGUUAACCUUUCCAGUGCUACCUGCGGGCUGAGAAUGACGCACACAGCUUUUUUGAUACCCGGAAGUGAGACAAACUCAUAAGAUGGGGUGAGGAAAUGAGACAUCAAAAGAUUAAGUGACUUGCUAAAAUUUACACUGCCUACGAAAGCUGACCUGGAAUGUGAACCAGAAAUUGUCCUUAACCAAAUCACCUCACUGUCUCUCAAGAGAUGGGGUCUCACUACAUUGCCCAGGCUGGCUCUCAAAU